CCACUCAAUGAUCUUCAGAUUAACUCAUUUUUUCUUGCAGGCUUGGGGUCUGAAUAUGAUCCGUUGGUUACAUCAAUCACUACCAGGGUUGAUACAAUGACUAUUGAUGAUAUUUUUGGGAUAUGCUUGCCUAUGAGA
Corylus avellana is the source of this 138-nucleotide non-coding RNA. The record is from RefSeq and is a predicted model, not a curated record. NCBI's taxonomy places the organism in Eukaryota, Viridiplantae, Streptophyta, Magnoliopsida, Fagales, Betulaceae.